GUCAGACGUGAAAGCCCCGGGCUCAACCCCGGAACUGCGUUUGAUACUGCCAGACUAGAGUGCGGGAGAGGAAAGUGGAAUUCCCGGUGUAGAGGUGAAAUUCGUAGAUAUUGGGAGGAACACCCGUGGCGAAAGCGGCUCUCUGGGCCCAUACUGACGCUGAGGAGCGAAAGCGUGGGGAGCAAACAGGAUUAGAUACCCUGGUAGUCCACGCCGUAAACGAUGAGUGCUAGACGUCGGGAAGAUUGCACCGUUUCGCGCCUAACGAAUUAAUUAAACCCCCUGGGGAGGACGCCCGCAAGAUUAAAACUCAAAUGAAU
This 320-nucleotide ribosomal RNA is filed under the name uncultured bacterium. RNAcentral's name for it is "bacterial SSU rRNA". It matches the Rfam family "Bacterial small subunit ribosomal RNA", at positions 587 to 910 of the family's 1533-position model. The record is from RNAcentral.